Molecule: long non-coding RNA, 1149 nt
Organism: Oncorhynchus tshawytscha (Chinook salmon)
Lineage: Eukaryota; Metazoa; Chordata; Actinopteri; Salmoniformes; Salmonidae
Source: Ensembl
AUUUUUAGGUUGAUAUUAAUGAAGACAUUAAUUAAUGUGUUUAUGAACAGUGUAAAUAUAAACCUACAUCAGGUGUUAAGAGGGCUGACCCCAUUUAGUCGACUGGUUGAUUGAUAGGCUGUUGGUCGACCAAGACUGUUUUAUUGGAGCAGUGGCAAAUAUAUAAAACAAAUGUAUGACACACGAGACACCCGUCUGAUUCACGCCUGUCUCAGUGGACUAAUUCAUUGUGGAGGCCGCGGGGAUUGCACACCAGUAUCACAUUUACUGUUAAUUCCCAUAGUUUCUAAUAUACAAUGUUUGUUUGGUUACGGUCAUUUCAGUUAAUGCAUUCAAUAUUUAUUAUUAUUACAGUCUUACCGUUGUCAUUGUAUGAAUGGAAACGUUGUUUACAGAGCGCACAACCUAGGCUACACUUUUUUUUUCAAUUUCUUUCCUUUUACGAGUUAAUUUAUUAAUUGUCUUUUGUUUGGAGCGCUCCUGUCAAUUUUUGAGUAAGGACAAGCACCUGAUUACGCAUAAAAGUAGGCCUAGGCUACCUGGCCUGCGUGCAAAUGUAGGCCUGUAAAUGUGCCUAUUUGGGGAGCUGAUACUAUUUCUGUCUUAAAUCAGCAUCACUGUGUAGCUCCUCAAGCUACUCGUUCUUCGCCUCAAACAGUUUGACUGUAUAGCAACUACGAUGCCCAUAGACCGCUAGCUGCGGGCUGGAGCUGAAGAAAAUGAUUGAAGAUACCAAGACCGCAGAGCUGUGUUGUGAACACCAGUAAUAAAGUCAGGUACAAGGAAGAGGGAAACAGUUGUGGACAUGGUGGAGAAAUUUGAAGCCUUUACUAGGAGCUUGAGCUGUUUGAUUUGGACUUGUCAUCUGGAAGGCUACUGCACUUCAGGACACUGAAGAAACGACAGGCAGAGGGACCAGGCCGGAGCAUUGUCAGAGUGGUGAUGGAAGAUUUCAUUAAGCAGCUGAGGGACAAUUUAUCCACCAGAUUUGAAGACUACAGCAUGCCCAAGGAUAUCAUUGCGUUUUGUACGUGAUCCUCUCAGUCUGCCCUGGUGGAGAAUUCUCCUCCCUUGCUAAGAUAACAAUACCCUCGCUGGAUGAGGUUUUUAAAAUGUAAAUAUAACCUUUUAUUUAACCAUGCAAGUCAG